CUGGCUGGCCUUGAACUCACAGAGAUCUGCCUUUCUCUGCCUCCCCAGUGCUGGGAUUAAAGGGAUGUGACACCACCGCCUGGAUGAAUCUUUCCUUCUGGAACUGUGAUUCUCUUCAGCAUUUUGUGGCAGUACGGAAGACUGGACACACAGGCUCUGAGGCUAGCUCAGGUAUCUAAUCUUGAGUAACGUCCAUCAUCUUACACUACUCUAGAAGAAGCCUCCCCAGCUGUGUUCAGAAGAUGCCAGGCUCCAUCCUGCUUCUCCACUGCCAUCUUUUCCUGCUGUGGCCCUGUGACCUGUGGCAAGCCACUCCUUUCUCACAGAUGCUGCUACCAGUGUAAAAAAUGCCUCUCCUUUAAAUAAGAAACUGGCUUCUCUUUCACAUCCAAAUAUGGCCAAGAACGUGGGUUCUGGUUAUCACAGUGAUCUGCUUUGCCUUUAUAUGAACUUUUAUAGCCAUGGAACUAAGAAAAUCUGGCAAUUCUGUCUCUUAUCUGUGAUGAAACCCUUCCCUCUACCAUGGAGCUGCCUUGAUGGUGGUUUCUUUACUGAGCCCCAGCUUACCAUUUCCACCAGUAACUUUUUCCCUUCUCUUUGUACAAAUGGGUUUUUUUAGGUGGGCCCGGCCCUUGAACCUGGGCCCUGGUAUGAAAAGACACUUGGAGUAGGGUAAUAGCCAGCCACUGGCAAGCAAUGUGAGCAUAAAGAACACUCAGCCAUCUUCAUACACUCGGGAGUCUUCUAAGACUUGGAGGUUACGGCAGCAUAGUCUCACACAAACUAACCAGGUGCCAGGGGUGGCAGACUCAGUGCCAAUAGAGAAUCAAAGUAGAUAGGAAGGCACGCAUGCAUAAAAGCAUGAAUGUUAGGGCUGCUACAGACUGGAAGACUCAGUCAAAUGGCAGGCUCCAGCAUUAAGCUGUACUAUGGUUGGUUUAGAUAAGUAGUAGAGGAUGUGGGUUUCUUUUUAAAUUAUUUCUUUUUAUUUUUUAAACAUUCAUCUAUUUAUUGAGAGGGUGACAGGGAAUGUGUGUGCUAUGGCACACAUGUGAAGGUCAAAAGACAACUUGCUGGAGUCAGUUCUCUUCUUCCAUCAUGUGGAUUCUAGGGACCAAGUCGGGUCAUCAGGCUCAAUGGCAAGGGUCUUUAUUACCCGCGGAGCCAUCUCGCCAGCCCAGAGGUGGUGGUUUUAGUAACAUAACUGACUAAUGGUUACCAGCCAAAAA
This is a non-coding RNA of Cricetulus griseus (Chinese hamster), 1229 nucleotides long. NCBI's taxonomy places the organism in Eukaryota, Metazoa, Chordata, Mammalia, Rodentia, Cricetidae. The record is from RefSeq and is a predicted model, not a curated record.